Molecule: long non-coding RNA, 13625 nt
Filed under: Citrus sinensis (sweet orange)
Lineage: Eukaryota; Viridiplantae; Streptophyta; Magnoliopsida; Sapindales; Rutaceae
Description: long non-coding RNA (CSIN_LNC003320)
Source: RNAcentral
CAAUUUCUUCAAUCUCAAAUUGUCCCAGUUAAUUAAUUAUUGACCAUGAAAAGCAAGGAAAAAAAGAAAACCACAUUCAUGCAAAUUAGGUCAUCACCUGUCUUGCUUCUAAGGAAUGGUAGGGAUUCUUACAUCAACAGCUUCAAUGGCUGUGCCAAUGACGUUGGACGAGGCGGCGCGGUGGUCUGUCCGGUUCCACAUGUUUCCCAUGUGCCCAAGAAUUUCAGUUGUGGCAGCUCCAGGUCAAGGGAUGAUGAAAAGCUUAGAGAGAUGGUAAGACAGGCGACGUGUAAGCGGAUUAUUGGCCGGGAGGUGGGGCUGAAUCUACAGCGGCAAACGGAGGUGAUUGAGGCUACUACUGUGCGAAAUAGUUACAGUGUUGGCGUUGGAAAGAUAGGGAGAAUUGAUGAAGAUAAGCCUUGUUCCUUUGAGGAAAAUUUGUUGUACCCAAGGAGCAAAAGCCAUGCUAUUGGAAAUGUUUUGCAUCGUUAAUUAGUUAGUCAAAUACUACUACAUUUAAUAUGCUAGUUGCAGUUGAGAUCAAGGGUAAAAUUGCUUUAUUGUUUGUGUAUUAAUACAUUAUAUAUAAAAAGGUCACUCAUUUGGUGAUGUUCGUUAUGAAUCGUUGAACUUCUCAAAGUCAAACAAGUUCCAAAAUUUAGGCCAAUUCCCUUAAUUGUUAUUGCAAUUUUUACAAUCAAUCAAAAUUAUUAAAUUUAUGCUGAUUGGACCAUUUCUGUUUCAUUUUCAAUCACUUGUUUAAAUUAAGCCUUAUUAGUUAAAACUAUUAACAAUUACGAUCGAUGUUGAUAUAUUGUAUAAUAACUAAUAGUAAUCCCUCAAAUUAGUUUAGUCUUCCUUGUUACCCUGCCUCUCAAACGUUGCAUACUUGUUCAAUUAUCUUAAUGUACGUGGUAGAUUUGGAGGCAUGCAUGGAUCGCUUUUGUAUGGCUCAAUUCAAAAGAAUCUUGAAGUUAAUUUUAUUUUUCAAAAUUGUCACAUACAUACAAUUUGAAACUUAUUAAAAGUCUAAAUACAUAUAAUUUAUGGUACAAUUUAGAGGUUUGUCAAAGUAUUAAUUCAGAAAUCUAUACUCCCACACAAAUUAGUUGGAGAUAUAUUUUGAUAAAAUCAAUAGAAAUUGGAAUCCAAACUCUUAUGGUGUGUUUACUUGAUGGUUUAGGGAAUGAGAAUGAAACUUAUGUUUACUUGACAAAAUGUAAUUUGUGAAUGAGAAUAAAAUAUGUGAGUCUCACACAAUUUGGGAACAAUGAAUGAGAAUCUCAUUCCCAUGGGGGGUUGUGAAUAAAAAUGAGGGAAUGAGAAUGAAAUCUAUGUACACUUUUGUAUCCCUCUAAUUUUUUCAUAUUUUCCAAAUUAUCCUCGUUCAAAUCAUAAUUGUAUAAUUUUAAAUGUCAAUAUUAUUAUUAUUAUUAUUAUUAUUAUUAUUAUUAUUAUUAUUAUUAUUAUUAUUAUUAUUAUUAUUAUUAUUAUUAUUAUUAUUAUUAUUAUUAUUAUUAUUAUUAUUAUUAUUAUUAUUAUUAUUAUUAUUAUUAUUAUUAUUAUUAUUAUUAUUAUUAUUAUUAUUAUUAUUAUUAUUAUUAUUAUUAUUAUUAUUAUUAUUAUUAUUAUUUUUUAUUAACUUUAUUAUUUCAGUUAUUAUUAAUUAUUGUUAUAAAUUUUAUUAACUUUAUUAAUAUUAUCAUUAUUAACAUUUAUUAUUAUUAUUAUUUUAAUUAAUAUAAUUUUUAUAAUAAUAUUUAUACAUGUAUCUAGUUAAUGAAAAUUAUAUUAUUUAAUACUAUGGGUAUUUUGAUAAAUUAAUUCUCAUUCACAUUACUCAUUCCCAUUUGUUUUGUCAGGUAAACAUAUCAAUGAUAUUCCAGCACACUCUCAUUCUCAUUUUUUUUUACCAAGUAAAUAUUAAAAUCUCAUUCUCAUUUCAACCAAUUCACAUUCGCAACUCAUUCUAUGAAGUAAACGCAUCAUUAAUAUUGAAGGACGUGUGUUACCGCUGGUCUAAAAGGCCUAAUGGCCAAUGACAGUUCGGGGGUAUUUUGUGGUAAAUAAAAACUAAUAAGGUCAAAAUAAAAAUUCGUUAUCAUUGAGUCUUGAUGUGUGGAAAAAAAAAAGUACAGCUUUGGGGCAGGGGGUAGUCAGCGUGUGUGAUCCAAAUCUUAGCAGGCACAGCCUUGGGCCUUGCCAUAUUUUACAUGUAUGUCUGAAUAAUGCCGUUCCUUCCUGGUUCCUUUAUCUAUCGUCAAGACAUUGUGUUAUGGAUCGCAAUUCCAUUAACACUGUUCUCCUCUCAAUAAUUGAGCGUACCUAAACCUGAAAGUGGAUCUUCAAAUCAUUGAGCAUGGCAGCAUUGCAAUUAUUUAUUCUCUUUGUGGCCCUUAAUGUGGUCCUCAGCUCAUCACGGCAAAUCAUCACAACCCUGCCGGGCUUUGAUGGUGAUCUUCCCUUCAAACUCGAAACUGGGUAUGCUCUAUUUUGUUUUAUUUUUCCUUUCUUGACAUACUUAUUAGCUGAAUUAAUUUCCCCAGAAAGAAAAAAAAAACAUUGUAUUAAUUACUUUUAGGUAUAUUGGGGUGGGAGAGAAUGAUGAUGUGCAGCUGUUUUACUACUUCAUUGAAUCCGAGCGGAGUCCUGAAGAUGACCCUCUUGUGCUUUGGCUCUCCGGAGGCCCUGGUUGCUCUGGAUUUUCGGCCCUUGCAUAUCAACUUGGUAUAUUCUUUUAUUCCUGAAAUGAAAUAUAUACAUAUAUAUAUAUGCUUUUAUUUUUUUGGUUUCCAAUCUCCUUUUUUUCGUAGAGAGUGGGGUCCAAAUCUUACGUUAUAUGCAACACCUCACGAGAUUUAAGAGUAAAACCAAAUGCACCCACAUCAUAUAUAUUUGAUCAUAUAUAUUUGUUGAAGUAUGCAUCGACGGCUCUUCCUCUAGAUAAUUUAGGCGAUUGUUUAGAGCCCUAUUAUAGAUGAAGGUUCUUAAAUUUAUUCUUAAAUUAUAGUUAUUAAUUAUUGAUUUAUGUUUAUUAUUAUUAUUUUAUAAUUAUAUUUUCCAUAAACAAACUAGUAAAUCCUUACAAAGUCCCCUUUUAACAUUAUAAUUAACAAUUUUAAUCUCAUUUAUUUCCUCCAUAUAUUUCAUCUAAAACUCUAUAAAGGCCACAUAUUUUUUAAAAUUAUUAUCCAUUAAUAUCUUUUUCCAAUAAAAAAAAAUCUAUGAAACCUUCAUUGUUUUGGUGAAAAAACUACUUUCUCUAUCCUACUUUUCACUUAAGAAAAAAAAAUUUCAAUUGUUUUACUAUUUAUUGAUCACUGCUGCUCAAAGGCUCUAUACAUCAAAGUUUAAGUUCUCAAAAUUUUCAGGUUCUAUUUUUCCAUUCUCUUAUUAAUUAAUUAUGUUAUUCAAUUGCUUUUGUUUCUUUUUAAAAAUAUUAUUGUGUUCAUAGGUUGUUUUCUUGCAAUUAUCUAGCAUAAUUUUUUACUUAAUUACUCUUGUUUCAAUAGGAAAAAAAUGUCUACUACAAAAAUAUGCAUUAGGAUACAAAAAACUUCAAAAAUAAGAGAAGAAUAGAAAAGUUAGUUUAUUCUAAAAAAGGAGCCAUUAAUAAAAAUUUAUUUAAGAUCAACUAUAUCAUAGGAAUAUUAAAUAGGUUAACUAUAUUGUCUAUUGAGAAAGAUAUAUUAGGAAAAUUAGAAUAUAAAAAAUUGAUUAAUAAUUAUGCAUCUCAAAAGCUAGAGAAACUGAUUUUAAAUAAAUAAACUCUUAAUCAAAUUAAUACUUACAUUUUACCUUAAAGUUUUUAGAAGGCCUAAUUAAAACAAUUUACCCAAGGCCUAAAAUAUGAUUGAGCCGCCCCUAGAAGUAUGAAUCAGAAUUAGAAUUCCAGAACAAACAACAACAUCGGAUCAGUCAGUGAGCGUUGGCCAACUGGCCGAUUUGGGGUUGGAUGACACGUCGGUUUAAAACUUUGAUCACACGUUUGAAAUCUACUCAUGUCAUACGAGUGCAGUUAGUAAAAGAUGUGCGUUGCAUGUGAUUCACUUGAACAUUAUAGGCUUUAAAUGACAGUCUUGGAUGUCAUUUAGCUCACUUAUGGAUUCCACAUGUCCUGGACAUGGGAGAGGCUGUCAAAGGCAGUCAAAAGAAGCUAAAAAAUUCUUGCUUUGUUGAAACAGACCCAGAAUGCAAGCUGGCUUCUUAACCAACUUCCUUGAUGCUUCUAUAGUGAUAUAUAAAGCUAUUUAGCUUGUGCUUUGGUUCUUAGAUUCAUUGAAACUUCCUCUAUAAACUUGCAAUUUGAUUUGCAACAGCGAAAGAAACCAUAGCUUUGUUUCUCAAGAGGAUGUAGGCCACCGGCCAAACCUCUAUGGAUCUUGUUUGUCUUGUUUCCUUUAUCUUCUUCUGUGUUAUUUGAGUUUAAAUACAAUUGAUAAGCAUUCUUGAUGUAAUAUUCAAUGUGUGGUGUAUAUUCUUGGGCUCAAGAUUGGAUUAACUUCUUAUCUUUAUUCCAACAAUAAUAAACUUAAGUCUUGAUUGGUAUUAAGGCAUAAUUGUAAAAUAAAGGUUGACAACAUAUGUUAUAAUUGUAAUUUUUAAAUUAAUCUAUCUUCCAAACCACAGCAAUAAAUGUUUACCAAACAUUUUUUUUUACUAUUAUAGAUGGGGAUAUGAACUCUCCAGAACUCCUUUUUAUAGCUAGAAGCCUAGAUUAGAGAAUAAUAUUUUUUUAAAUUAAAGUGAUAAUUCAUAUAAGGCCACAACUAUUGUAAUAAGGUAGAAUAAAUUUAUAUUUGAGAGGAGUUUAUGCUAAGUUUAGCUUACGGUGUGUUUUUAUGAUGUUUGGGGUAUCUAGUAUCGCUGAGAUACACCAACUAGGUGGUGAGCUAUAAUGAUCUACAUAGUGAUCUAAGGUAGUCAUAUGGAAAACAAUAAGGAGCUUAAUAGUGCAUGUAAGAAUUAAUCUGGGGAGUUGAUACUUGAUAUUGAGAGCUGAUGUGUGCUCAGGAGAGUAGCUCAGGUGAGCUUCAAAGGUAGCUUAGGUGAUCUCUCAAAAUACUUAGCGUAAUUAGAGUAGAUCCAAUAAGUUCAUAUGUGAAACAAAACCUCGAUCUCAAAUUGAAAAUAUAGUAAAAAAGAAUAUAAAUAUAAAAAAAUAUACAAUGCUUACAUAGUACGGUCCUUGGCCUAGAUUUAUAGCAGGAAGUCGUCACUAAUUCACUAUAUAAAUGAGAGAUUACAUGAGAUCUUACAUUAUCUAAAAUGAACAACACAAGCUAGAUCGUUACAUAUAGAUGUUUAGUGUCGAUAAAGAUAAAAAUGAUGAAUAAAGAUGUGGAGAGUUAUAACAUGGUAGAGAAGAUAAUAAAGGCGUAUGUUUUCACCAAAAUUUUACUAGGCCCGAUUCAAACCAAUUAGGUGGUUCUCAACAAAUCCAAUUCAAAUUUGAUUCAUAUUAAUAAAACUUAUAUUUGAGGGGAGUUUUUGCCAUGUUUGGAUUUAGGUGUGGUUUUUUUUUGUUGUUUGGGCAGAUUAUUUAGUUGAGAUACACUUGGUGACGAGCUAAAAUAAUAUUCCAAGUGCUGAGGUGGUCAUUAUGAAGAAUAAUAGGGGAGAGCUCGGUGGAGUCUCGUAGGAAUUAAUUUAGAGUGUUGAUAUAAGGGAGCUGAUGUGUGCUCAGGAGUAGCUUAGGUGCACUUAACGGAUAGCUCAAGUGAUCUCACAAAAUAUUUAGUGUAGCUGGGGUAUUCCUGAUAAGCUCACAAGUGAAAUCUCGAUCUCAAAUUGAAAAUAUAACAAAAUAAACAUAAAAACAAAGAACAUGUGAUAUUUACAUGGUUAAAGGCCUAUGCCUGCAGGAGCAAGUCAUCACCAAUCCACUAUAUAAAUGUGAGAUUACAUGAAAUUUUACAUCAUCAAAGAUGAAAAACACAACUAUGGAGCUAUAUAGAGAUAUUUGGUGUUGAUAAAGAUGAAGAUAGUGAAUAAAGAUAUAAAGAGUGAUAAUAUGAUAGAGAAGAUAAUGACGAUGCAAAAUAAAAUAACCUCCCAAAAAUGGAGAAGUGGAUGAUGAUAUAAAAGAUGGAGAGAGAGAGAGCAUGUGUGUGAGAGAGAGAACAGAAGAGGAGAGGAGGCCAAAAGAUGAGAUCAUAAGAUGCCCUAAUAUAGGUGAAUAAGAAAUUUAUAUAGUAGAGGCUAGCGGCAAGGAGAAUGUAUAAAAGUUAGGUUAAAUGCCAUCUUUAGGUUAAAAGAAGAGGAUGUUUUUAAGGUUAUGUGUCGUAUUUAUGAGAAAAGAGAAGAAUAUUCAUUUUGUAUUAGGUUUAUUCUUUCACAUUAAUAUAUUGAAGCAUCCAACCUUAAUCACUGAUUUUUAAGCCUGUCCAACAUAGCAAAUUCUUCCAAAUGGCAUCUUUAUACUACUUCGAGUAUUGUGUCUACUUUAUCUUUUUAAUUAUUCACGUGUCAUUCGUUUAUUAGUCUAAAAAUAUCCUUCCAAAUUUACCCCAAAUAGUGUAAAAUAGAGAAUGGUCUCUCAAAAAUAGAGAAUUGGCUGACGAUUUAAAAAAUAUGGAGAGAGAGAGAGAGCCCAAAUAUGGUGAUUAAGACGUCUACACAGUAGAGGCUAGUGGUAAAAAUAGUGCAUGAAAGUUAUAACUAGAUGUCAUUCUUAGGUUAAAAAGAAGAAAUAUUUUUAAGGUUAUGUAUCAUAUUUAAGGAAAAAAGAUAAAAAUAUUCCUUUUGUACUAGAUUUAUUAUUUCUCAUAAAUACUUGAUGUGUCCAACUUGACCCUUGAUUUUUAAACUCUUCUAAUUUAGUAGAUUAUUCCAAAUGGUAUCUUUAUAUUAGGUAUGGCAAAAAAGCUCGGGCCGACCCUUCCCAUUCCCAUAAGCUUUGGCUUGGGCCUCUACAUGAAGGGUCUAGACAAGGGCUUAAGGGAAAAAUGCCUAAGCUAGACCCAAACCCUCUAUUUUUAUAAAAAAUAAAUAAAUAAGUUAUAUAUUAGAAUAAUAAAUUAAAAAUUAAAAAAUAAUGAAAAAAGCUUAAAUUCCUAAUUUAUAUAUCAAUAAUGAAUCAAAAAACCCAAAUUAUCUGCUGUACCGUACAUCCGCCUUGGCCGUACAAAAUCUCUAAAUUUUAUUUAUUUUUUUCUUUAUUUAUUAUUUUAUUUUAAAAUAUUUAUUUUCUAUAAUUCAUUGUUGAUUAUAAUAACUUGUUCAUUAUUAACUCACUUUCAAAUUUACAACAAUUUAAAAAAAGUAAAAAAAUAAGUGAAAGUCCAAGCCUAGCCCGAGCCUGGCCCUUAAACUUCCCCUCUAAUAGGCUGAGGCCGGACUUUUUCGCCAUCCAUAGUUUAUAUUGCUCUUAAGUAUUAUACCAAUUUUAUUCUUUUAAUUAUCUACGUGUCCUUCAUUUUUUGGUUCAAAAAUAUCUUAUUAAAUUUACCUUCAAACAGGAAUCAAUAGUUGUGGCACAAGGCAUUAGUUAUAGUAAAUGAUAGAGUUGGGCUACCGGAAGAAACAAUGAAUUAAACAACAAUAGCUAUUGGUUGCAGAUACUUAGUAUCAUAGGUUAUAAUAGCACGUCAGUAUUUUAAUAUUUUUAAUUAAUAGAACAAUAUGUGAGUUGGUUGAAAACAUUUAUUAUAAGUCUUACAUCCGGGUUAAAAUAGAAAAAAAGAAGUAUUUAAGCACGUUGACAUUUUUAAUGAGACAUUAUUAGCGGGAUAUUGGGAACGUCAUCGGGAUUUUAAUGGAUUUUAAAAUAGUAAAUUACAUGAGGAGUUUUAUCAUUAUCCUUUCUUAAUAUAUCUUGAUGGUAUGUCCUUUGUAGGUCCAUUGGCAUUUGACUACGAAAAUUCUAGAGAAAAUUCCCCAAAGUUGUUGUUGAAUCCAUACUCAUGGACAAAGGUGAGACAUUAAUUAGAAAAUUCUUUUACAAACUUUCUGUUUUAAUAAUAAUAAUAAAAAAUUUGGAAUUGUAUUAGAGAUCUCAUUGGGAGUUGCAUGUAAAUUAUUAUUCAGGUUGCCAGUAUUAUAUUCAUAGAUGCACCAGCUGGCACCGGAUUCUCAUAUGUCAAAAAUUGGCAAGGAUUCGUUAUGAAUGAUACACUUUCAGCAGUGCAAACGUAUUUUUUUCUAAGAAAGGUGAGUAAAAAUUGAGGUGGUGUGCGUCUUACUGCAUAAUAAAAUCACUAACAAUUAAUUUAUUAUAAGUUGAUGACCAUUUGUAAGAAUAUUAGCUUUAAACUAAAAGUUAAUAUUUUAGCUGUUGUGCUUUAUUAAUUAAGUGGAAGUCCAAGUAGUGCAAACAUAUAUACCUUAAAUCAUGCAUCAAUUGAGUCUAUUGGUUUUCAAAAUUAAUGCAUUAUGCAUGCUAACCAAUCUUUUUAAUUUGUAUAUGAAUGAUGGAUUAGUGGCUUAUAGCUCAUCCCAGUUUCCUCGCGAAUCCACUCUAUAUUUUUGGCGAUUCCUAUUCUGGCAAAGUCCUUCCAAUUGUUGUUCAAAAAAUUUCUGACGGUAAUUUUUUUUUUCCCCUUCUUCCAUCUUAGAAUUUAGUUACUCUGCAUGCUGUGAAACAGAAUCAAACAUUUGCCAAAUUCACUUGCAGAAUAUAAUGGCAUUGAUUAUUACCAUAUUUAUCACAAUUAUCAUUAUUUAGUUGCUGAUACUUUGUUGCAGGUAUUGAUCUCGGAGAUGAGCCUAGAAUGAAUCUCAAAGUAGGUCACCUAGAAUCGGAUAUCACAUAAAUUUUGAUUUAUUUCAUUCUCAGUUUUUUACAUGACUAUUGAAUCUUAACAAUUUUGAUAAUGGACACAGGGAUAUUUGCUUGGCAACCCAGUAACAGAUGAGGCUUCAGACAUCAAUUUUAGACCACAAUUCGCAUAUAUGAAGGGACUCAUCACCCAUGAAAUCUACGAGGUGACUUCUUUAAUCGUAUAUAUUUUUCAAAUUAAUAUUUUGUGUGUCUAGAUAUAAAAUCCUUUCUCUAAUGUAGGUGUCUUCAUUUUUUUCCCAUGCGGAUAUUCUAUUAAGUCAUAUAGUUUAAUAGAGUACUAUUAAUUUUUAAGUUAAUAAGAUAAGAUUUUUUUAAAGUUUAUUAUCUAAUAAAUUUAUUGAAUUAUUAAUUUGUCAUUUGACCCAAGCCAAGACUAACAAAAACUAUCUUUUAAUUGAAAUUAUCAAUUUAUCAAGUAUUAAUUUAACCAGGUUCCAUUGUAUAUGUAAAACAUAGAUUUAGCUAGUUACUGGUAACCAAUUAGUGGCGAAGCCAUGUUAGGAUCUAGGGUUGGCAGAAUUCCCUAAAUCUCUAUUGAGAUUCGGGAUCCAUGCCCAUUUGAGACGAGAUUCGAAAUAAAAUUUAUCUUAGUUUACUAUUCGGAUCAGGAUUGAGACUCAAAUUUUUCCUAAAUUAUUGCUUGGUACGGGAUUCAAGAUGUUUGAAGAUCCUGAUCAGGAUCUUAAACGUCUCGAAAUCUCUGUUUCCACAGGUGCAUGACAAAUCAAUUUGAUGAAUCACAUAUAUAUAUAGAAUAUAUCAGUCAUAUGUUUAUAACACAUCAAUUUAAUAAAUAAAAUAUAUAUGAUAUGUCGGUCAUAAUCGUAUGACAUGUCGUUUAAAAUAGAAACUGCAAUGUGUGAUAGAAAACUCAUGUUAUUUGGAACAAUUCAGGAUCCCAAUUAAGACGGAUCAAGAUCCAUUUUUGUCCCAAUUUACUACUUGAUAAGCGAUUUAGAACACAUUUUUUGCCCAAUUAUCUAUCAGGACAGGAUCAGUAUUGACAAAUCCUAGCCCGUUGGGGAUAAAUAUUUAACCUUACCAGGGUUGAAGUUAUGUAAAAUCCUCAAUAUUUUAGGUUCAAAUUAUAAGGAGAAAAAAAAAUGGUGGGCCCUGUAGGUCUUAUCCAUCGAUAAGUAGUUGACAUCCACAUUUAUAUAAAAUUCAGACACUAAAAUUAAAAGAAGGAUAUAAAUAUAACGUAUGAUAUAUGAAUAUGAACUGCCAUGUAUUAAUUGCUUAAAAUGUGUGAGAUGCUUCUUUUAUUUUCUGUUUACAGUCAGCCAAAAGAAAUUGCAGGGGCGAGUACACGAAUGUAGAUCCAAGCAAUGGCUUAUGUAAAGCUGAUCUUCAAAAUAUAACAGCGGUAUACAGAACAAAACUCGUAGUCAUUUUGUUCAAUUAACUAGUAUUAUAAGUACAGGUAGCAAAAUUAACUCACCCAAUUGAAUUUGUAGUGCAUUGGAAAAUUAUGUAUCCAGAACAUAUAUGAAUCUCAAUGUAGUUUAGAUAUACUCAGAAGACGAGUGCAAUUCAUAUGGGAUCGCGCCAUCAUCCAAGAAGAUUCUUUUGAUUUUCUCUAUUCGGCAGUUCAAUCAGCUCCAAGGCGUUGGUGUCGGGUAAAAUUCUAUACACACACACACAAUAAAUGUGCAAUAACCCAUCAAUGCAUAUAGAAUCAAUCAAUCAACUUUGUUCAAGUUAACGUAUUUCAUAUCCAAUUAAUUUUGAACGUUAAUGUCUCUUUCAGUCCUAGGGUCUGAGUUAAUUACCCUAUUAGCCCUUGAAUCUAUAAGUUAUUUAUUUUUGUAAAAUCAACUUAAUUAUACUUAACUUUUCAUAUGUUGCAUGUCAGACCAAAAAAAAAAAAAAAACCUUUGCUCGUACAAAGUUAGAUCUAACAGUUGUGGAAAUAACACUAGAGACCAACUAAUUAACCAAAACUGAAAACUCAAUGGAAUAUAUAAAGGGGAAUUUACUCAAUUUUAAACGUAAGCAUAUAUAAGCAGUACUGCAGCGCACAUCUGUUUCUAAGGUUUCUUUACUUUUAUUAUUAUUGUUGUUAUUAUUGCUUUACUAUGUACUCAACAAUUAUAGUAUGAGCUGCUGAUGUUCCACUUUCAUAGAAAGAUAACUAUUUCUACUCGUACAAUUGGGCAAAUAAUAAAGCUGUGCAAAAGGCUCUGAGAGUUCGGGAGGUAUGUUAUGGUUGGUUAGAGCAUAGUCGCAACCCAAAUCAUUAAAUAUUAUUUUUACUAAUGCAUUCCCAUAUGAGCAGGGGACAGUAGAAUAUUGGACGAGGUGCAAUAAAAGUUUGUCUUACACAUAUGAUGUCUCAAGUGGUGUUGAUUAUCACCGAAAGCUCACCAAGAAAGGCUAUCAAGUUUUGGUUUACAGGUAAUAAUAUAUAGAAAAGUUAUUAGGAGCGUAUGUUCCAAUAUUUUAGAAUGCCAACAUUUUGAAGGAUGAAUAAAUUCAUCAAUGAUCGGGAAUGUUCAAUGAUCCUGAAUAUGUAACUAAUGAAAUGAUAGUUUGGAAUAUGCCUGAUUGCUUUUUAUACAUGAGACUUCUUCUCCUUCCUUGAAUUUUUUCACAAACGUAAUUCAAGCCUGUAUCUAAAAAGACACUAUAACACUCUUGUUAGCUCAUAUUUUAUGAAUUUUCAGUAAAUCAAAUUUAGUUUUGUCUUCUUCUAGUGCGGUUAAUAGUCCCUUCUUGAUUUUUUUUACCCAUAUUUAAGUCUUAAAUUGAGUCUCAAUAUUAUAUGUCACUCAUUUACUAGAUGAUAGAUUUUAUGGCUUUUAAAAUCACUUAACCAGCAUCCAAUAGAUGAAUGCUACAAUAAUUGAAACUUAAAUUUUGGGAUACCUAGUAUUGCUCUUAAAACUUUAUCACGGACUUGCUAUGACGGACUAAGUUUCUAGCUAUCUCGUAGUCUACACAUUGGACUAAUUUUCUUUCACGAAUACAGCGGAGAUGUCGACAUGGUAGUUCCAUAUAUGGCUACUGAAGCAUGGAUAAAGUCAUUAAAUUUGACGAUUGAAACUGGCUGGCAGCCGUGGUUGGUGGAAAGUCAAGUUGCAGGGUUGGUUUAUUUUCAUCUCAGCUUGUUUAUCAUAUUUGGAAUAUUAACUUUAACAUUAUAUGAUAUCUGACAGUUGUUUCAAUUUCUACUAUUGAUUUCUGUAGAUAUUGGUACCGUUACAAGGGAAAGAACAAUUAUCAUUUGACAUUUGCCACAGUAAAGGCAAGAAUAAAUCAUUUUCCCUUAAAACUAUCUACCGUGAUUAAUUAGCUAAUUAAGCAGCUAUAUUAUAUAAUUAAUGACUACUAAUUGUGUAAUUAAUAUGGGUUGUGCAGGGAGCAGGUCAUACAGGUCUAGAGUACAAGCCUAAGGAAUGUCUUGCAAUGAUCUACAGGUGGUUCGCAUCCUAUCCUCUCUAGAGCCACGUUCAUAUAAUUAUUAAGUUUUCGAGAUUGAAAAAUAAAUGUGGAAGUUAAGUGGCUGAUGGCGUUGUAAACACCGAUGAAAUUAUUUAUGUUUGGCUUUACCAAACUUAUGAUCUGAAAAACUAGUAUUGCAAGAGCCUUGAUGCUCCUAUUUGCUUUUUUAAAAAUGUCGCUCCAAACUCAUUUGUGUACGGGUUUUUUUCAUCUUAACUUGGUUAUCAUAUUUGUCUUAUGAAAUAAUUAUAAUUUAUGAAUCCUGUCACACGUCUGCCAUAUAUAAGCCUCGGGAUCAAAAACUGUGACAUGAGUAAUCGUCAGAGCCGCUUUGCAUUCAAUAAGGGACUUAAGUGACAAAAAAAUUUAAUGGGAAUUCUAUUGAAAUUGAUUGAUUGGACAAAAUGAGAGGAGGAAAUACCUCCACGUCUACCCAUUAAUUAUAAGACAACACUGGUAGGUACUAAUUUCUGGUGUUCAAUACUAACUUUCUGAGCUUAAUUCCCUCAAUCACCAAACAAAAACCUCGGCUUCUAGGUGGACUAACUGAUAAUAUAAGACUCUUUUACAAGAUUAUAUAAGACAUGAAUUACCUAAAAAACAAAUUCAUAUUUCACUUGUGAUAAGUAUAAUAAAUGCCGUACCUUUCUCGGUCUUCAUCAGUUCAUUGAGCACUAGAAGAUUAACGUAUAAAAUGUAUGUAUUAGAAGCUCCCGAAACUUAAUUAGCUCGGUCUCAGGAGUCGGAAACCGGCAAUAAGACGGCAUGAGCCAAAUAGCGAAGAUCAAACAAAGAUGAAGCCCAAAACACUAAGCUCCAAAGUUUCACUCAUCGUAGCUUUAAAAAAACAAUGUUAAUAAUAAUAAUCCUCUCAUCGUCUUCUUGUUACCAUCAUAAGACCUGUUCAAUGCUAACCAUAUGAAAACUAAUAACUCUCCUUUUCCUGGUGUCAGUUCUUUUUUUCUCUUGUUCGUAUUCAUUUCUUAAUUCAAUUUUAUAAUGCUUUUAGACUUGUCUUCUUAUAAGUUACCAUAGCCUUCUUACCGUCCAAAAUUGCAGUCCAAAUUUGCCUUAGAUGCUACCGUUACCCAAAAUAAAAUCAAAAUAGGAGCCAGCGCAGUAUAAAUUUACAGAAUCAUUGAUUUCUUAAGCCAUGUAUUGCUUCACACUUUUUAGAAUCCAAUUUCUUCAAUUUCAAAUUGUCCCAGUUAAUUAAUUAUUGACCAUGAAAAGCAAGGAAAAAAAGAAAACCACAUUCAUGCAACUUAUAUCAUCACCUGUCUUGCUUCUAAGGAAUGCUAGGGAUUCUUACAUCAACAGCUUCAAUGGCUGUGCCAAUGACGUUGGACGAGGCGGCGCGGUGGUCUGUCCGGUUCCACAUGUUUCCCAUGUGCCCAAG